UACGGGGGGGGCAAGCGUUGUUCGGAAUUACUGGGCGUAAAGGGCGCGUAGGUGGCCCGUGGAAGUCUGCGGUGAAAGUCCGGCGCUCAACGCCGGAUCGGCCGUGGAUACUCUCGGGCUUGAGCUUACUAGAGGCAGAUGGAAUUCCGGGUGUAGCGGUGGAAUGCGUAGAGAUCCGGAAGAACACCGGUGGCGAGGCGGUCUGCUGGGGUAAUGCUGACACUGAUGCGCGACAGCGUGGGGAGCAAACAGG
Molecule: ribosomal RNA, 253 nt
Filed under: uncultured bacterium
Lineage: Bacteria
Description: partial 16S ribosomal RNA
Rfam family: Bacterial small subunit ribosomal RNA
Source: RNAcentral